This 547-nucleotide ribosomal RNA is filed under the name Hypocrella raciborskii. Its description in RNAcentral is "SSU rRNA". It matches the Rfam family "Bacterial small subunit ribosomal RNA", at positions 233 to 791 of the family's 1533-position model. The record is from RNAcentral. Lineage: Eukaryota; Fungi; Ascomycota; Sordariomycetes; Hypocreales; Clavicipitaceae.
UCUUCGGGAUAGGUAGUAGUUAAGGUGAUGGCUUAACUAGCUUAAAAUUCUCGUAGUCGAAGCUGAAAGGUUGAUCGACCACAUUGGGUCUGAAAAAACCCCAAUGCAAGUUAGUACAGCAGUGAGGAAUCUUGGUCAAUGGCCUAACGGCUGAACUGGCAACUUGGAGAAGUGGCAAGUCUUAUUUUUGAUUAUAAUUUUAGAUAAUCUAUAAGAUUGUAUUAAAAUUGAAUAAAACUUUGUUUAUAUAUUGAUAAUGACAAUAUAUAUAUCGUGUCUUGACUAAUUACGUGCCAGCAGUCGCGGUAAUACGUAAGAGACUAGUGUUAUUCAUCUUAAUUAGGUUUAAAGGGUACCUAGACGGUCAAUAUAGCUUCUAGAAUGUUAGUACUUGACUAGAGUUUGAUGUAAGGGGGCAGUACUUGAGGAGGAGAGAUGAAAUUCUAUUAUACCAAAGGGACUCGGUAAAGGCGAAGGCAGCCCUUUAUGUAAAAACUGACGUUGAAGGACGAAGGCACAGAGCACAAACAGGAUUAGAUACCCAAGU